Molecule: ribosomal RNA, 1787 nt
Filed under: Staphylococcus aureus M1150
Lineage: Bacteria; Bacillati; Bacillota; Bacilli; Caryophanales; Staphylococcaceae
Description: bacterial LSU rRNA
Rfam family: Bacterial large subunit ribosomal RNA
Source: RNAcentral
GUAAUAGCUCACUAGUCGAGUGACACUGCGCCGAAAAUGUACCGGGGCUAAACAUAUUACCGAAGCUGUGGAUUGUCCUUUGGACAAUGGUAGGAGAGCGUUCUAAGGGCGUUGAAGCAUGAUCGUAAGGACAUGUGGAGCGCUUAGAAGUGAGAAUGCCGGUGUGAGUAGCGAAAGACGGGUGAGAAUCCCGUCCACCGAUUGACUAAGGUUUCCAGAGGAAGGCUCGUCCGCUCUGGGUUAGUCGGGUCCUAAGCUGAGGCCGACAGGCGUAGGCGAUGGAUAACAGGUUGAUAUUCCUGUACCACCUAUAAUCGUUUUAAUCGAUGGGGGGACGCAGUAGGAUAGGCGAAGCGUGCGAUUGGAUUGCACGUCUAAGCAGUAAGGCUGAGUAUUAGGCAAAUCCGGUACUCGUUAAGGCUGAGCUGUGAUGGGGAGAAGACAUUGUGUCUUCGAGUCGUUGAUUUCACACUGCCGAGAAAAGCCUCUAGAUAGAAAAUAGGUGCCCGUACCGCAAACCGACACAGGUAGUCAAGAUGAGAAUUCUAAGGUGAGCGAGCGAACUCUCGUUAAGGAACUCGGCAAAAUGACCCCGUAACUUCGGGAGAAGGGGUGCUCUUUAGGGUUAACGCCCAGAAGAGCCGCAGUGAAUAGGCCCAAGCGACUGUUUAUCAAAAACACAGGUCUCUGCUAAACCGUAAGGUGAUGUAUAGGGGCUGACGCCUGCCCGGUGCUGGAAGGUUAAGAGGAGUGGUUAGCUUCUGCGAAGCUACGAAUCGAAGCCCCAGUAAACGGCGGCCGUAACUAUAACGGUCCUAAGGUAGCGAAAUUCCUUGUCGGGUAAGUUCCGACCCGCACGAAAGGCGUAACGAUUUGGGCACUGUCUCAACGAGAGACUCGGUGAAAUCAUAGUACCUGUGAAGAUGCAGGUUACCCGCGACAGGACGGAAAGACCCCGUGGAGCUUUACUGUAGCCUGAUAUUGAAAUUCGGCACAGCUUGUACAGGAUAGGUAGGAGCCUUUGAAACGUGAGCGCUAGCUUACGUGGAGGCGCUGGUGGGAUACUACCCUAGCUGUGUUGGCUUUCUAACCCGCACCACUUAUCGUGGUGGGAGACAGUGUCAGGCGGGCAGUUUGACUGGGGCGGUCGCCUCCUAAAAGGUAACGGAGGCGCUCAAAGGUUCCCUCAGAAUGGUUGGAAAUCAUUCAUAGAGUGUAAAGGCAUAAGGGAGCUUGACUGCGAGACCUACAAGUCGAGCAGGGUCGAAAGACGGACUUAGUGAUCCGGUGGUUCCGCAUGGAAGGGCCAUCGCUCAACGGAUAAAAGCUACCCCGGGGAUAACAGGCUUAUCUCCCCCAAGAGUUCACAUCGACGGGGAGGUUUGGCACCUCGAUGUCGGCUCAUCGCAUCCUGGGGCUGUAGUCGGUCCCAAGGGUUGGGCUGUUCGCCCAUUAAAGCGGUACGCGAGCUGGGUUCAGAACGUCGUGAGACAGUUCGGUCCCUAUCCGUCGUGGGCGUAGGAAAUUUGAGAGGAGCUGUCCUUAGUACGAGAGGACCGGGAUGGACAUACCUCUGGUGUACCAGUUGUCGUGCCAACGGCAUAGCUGGGUAGCUAUGUGUGGACGGGAUAAGUGCUGAAAGCAUCUAAGCAUGAAGCCCCCCUCAAGAUGAGAUUUCCCAACUUCGGUUAUAAGAUCCCUCAAAGAUGAUGAGGUUAAUAGGUUCGAGGUGGAAGCAUGGUGACAUGUGGAGCUGACGAAUACUAAUCGAUCGAAGACUUAAUCAA